CGGGUGAGUAACGCGUAGAUAAUCUGCCUUAGACUCUGGGAUAACAUCUCGAAAGGGGUGCUAAUACCGGAUAAGCCCACGAAGACGUGAGUCUUUGCGGGAAAAGGGGGCCUCUGCAUAUGCUCUUGAUCUAAGAUGAGUCUGCGUACCAUUAGCUUGUUGGUAGGGUAAUGGCCUACCAAGGCGACAAUGGUUAGCUGGUCUGAGAGGAUGAUCAGCCACACUGGGACUGAGACACGGCCCAGACUCCUACGGGAGGCAGCAGUGGGGAAUUUUGCGCAAUGGGGGAAACCCUGACGCAGCAACGCCGCGUGAGUGAUGAAGGCUUUCGGGUCGUAAAGCUCUGUCUAGAGGGAAGAAGUGAUAUUUGGUUAAUACCCAGAUUUCUUGACGGUACCUCUGAAGGAAGCACCGGCUAACUCCGUGCCAGCAGCCGCGGUAAUACGGAGGGUGCAAGCGUUGUUCGGAAUUAUUGGGCGUAAAGCGCGUGUAGGCGGUUUGUUAAGUCUGAUGUGAAAGCCCUGGGCUCAACCUGGGAAGUGCAUUGGAAACUGGCAGACUUGAAUACGGGAGAGGGUAGUGGAAUUCCGAGUGUAGGAGUGAAAUCCGUAGAUAUUCGGAGGAACACCGGUGGCGAAGGCGGCUACCUGGACCGAUAUUGACGCUGAGACGCGAAAGCGUGGGUAGCAAACAGGAUUAGAUACCCUGGUAGUCCACGCCGUAAACGAUGAGUACUAGGUGUUGCG
This 746-nucleotide ribosomal RNA is filed under the name uncultured bacterium. Its description in RNAcentral is "bacterial SSU rRNA". It matches the Rfam family "Bacterial small subunit ribosomal RNA", at positions 103 to 827 of the family's 1533-position model. The record is from RNAcentral.